GUUCUUUAAACAUUUCUGCACAUGAUAUUUGCUGUUGAGUUAAAUAAUGAAAAUUAACAACCGUAGAGUGUUAUUGUGGGGUAUUUCCAGACUUUUUAACUUUCUUUUUAAUUAAUGUCAUUAUUAUGAAAACACAGAUUGCAAGAUAAACUGCAUCAUUAUCUAUACAUAUAACUGGAAACAAAAAUAUAUUAUGUUUUAUAGCCAUUACUGCUGCUCUCUUAAAUUGAGGUAUUUUGUAUGGAAAUCAGCCUUUUUAAUGUAACUACCAAAUAUCCUUUAUAAUGACCACAUGUCUGAUAUUUGUAACAAAUAUUAGGCUACCACAAGAAAAUUUUUAUUCUCUACCAACUCCUCAGAUUCCUCUUCCUCUCCAAGCUCGGAGAAUGGAAAGAAGAAGAAGAAGAUGAAGAAGUCAAAGAAGAAGAAGGGAAAGAAAGUAACAACGGAGAGAGGAAACAAAAAGAUCAGACGGAGCCGUGUUUCAAGGGCACGUGGUCCAGAUGAGGUAAUUGCACGUUACCGGAAAGUGUUGAAGGUCUACAAGAAGAAGAAUACCGUCACUGCUGCUUGCAGAAUAGUGGGAGUGAAUUGCAAU
Molecule: long non-coding RNA, 598 nt
Organism: Gasterosteus aculeatus aculeatus (three-spined stickleback)
Lineage: Eukaryota; Metazoa; Chordata; Actinopteri; Perciformes; Gasterosteidae
Source: Ensembl